This 1613-nucleotide long non-coding RNA is filed under the name Equus asinus (donkey). RNAcentral describes it as "lncRNA (ENSEASG00005023896.1)". The record is from RNAcentral. Lineage: Eukaryota; Metazoa; Chordata; Mammalia; Perissodactyla; Equidae.
UGUGAAUCACUCUCCUCCCUGUUCUUCAAAUAUUUUAAACAUGAUCAUGAAGUAAUCAGAGCCAGUGUUGGGAUUCUGUUCUGUCCCUUUGAGCCAUCCCUUCAGUGGAAUUUCUUUGGAGCUUUUCCUUCUGACACCCAGCCUACUACUGUCCUGGUGGCCCCAGGACCUCCUCAUGCAGUGGGUCUUCUCCGGACUGUGCUCCACACCAACUGACCACCCCAUCCUCUCCUCAGUGUAGCUAGAAUUUGGGCUCUGCUCCUCACUGGGAUGUGACCUGCUCUGGAAUAUGGGAGCAAUAAUAAUUUAUUGUGAGGAUUUAAAAAAUAUAUAAUGCAUUGAAUGUGCUCAAUUCUGGGGAACAUAGUAUGUAUUUAAUAAAUGCCAAAGUGAUCAGUUUUUCUCUUUCCCUUAAUCUGAACCUAUGUUGUCUGUUCUGGUCACAUUUCCUGAAAGACAUUCAUUCAGUUAGACAUUUUUUACUAGCAUAAUUUAAUUAAUUCUUGAUGAUAGAAUUUCAAGUUUAACAGGGUUCUUCUGGAAAUACCAUCAGAAUCUACAGUUGACUCUAAUAGGACUGCAGUGUGUAUAUUGGCCAGUGCAAGUAAUCCUACACUUGUAUUGAUCAGCAGCGAUGGCUCAUAAUCUAUGAAGACAGCAUGUCGCUGAGAUAAUCCUGUGGAGGCCGACUCACGGCUCUGUGGGCUAGAAUGUCACACCAGGCUUUUCCGUGUGAUUCUGGUGAGGAGUAAUGCGGAUUACUGGCUAAUUUUGGCUCACUGUGCUGUGUUAUCAAGUGCACUUCCUGAGAGUCCUGGAUUUCCUGGUUUAAGUGUGGCUGAUGACGUACUUGUAACCAAGGGACUCGGCCCAGCCCAAGUGCUUCUGACUAAGAGGAGCAUGCCAAGUAAAUAAGCACUUCGCUGUGCCAUGCCUGAGAGAAGGAAUGCAAAGAUUAAUUCACUGGCCCUAAUAUCUUUAAUCCAAUGAUUCACAAACAAACACCACCAUUUGGAUUCCAGUAACUGUAAUAGUAUAACAGUCGCUGACUUUUAUUAGUGUGUAAUUAACCCUGUAGUGUGUCAAGAUGACAGCUGUAAUUUUCUGUUCACUCAGAGAUAUCCAUAGACCUCAGUAUUCUAACUAGUCAUGCGAUAUCCUUUCAGUACUUUGAUGGUUAAUGUCAACAUUUGUGAACAUGUUGACAGCUAACAGUGAGAGGUCUAUUUAUUACAUUUCACAAAGUAUGCAUAUGUUUAAUCUUCAACUGGUUUUGAGUUCAGAGGCAAAGCUGGAGUGUGGGAUUUGGAGAUGGGAAUGGAGGGGUGAGGGGAGAGGUGGGUAGUCUACCAAGCCAGUACUCCCAGAUUCAAGACCCUUUCAGCUGGCCUGCAUGGCUGUCCUUCCAAAGAUGAUUUGAAUUGACACACCAUGCUUCUUUAGCUGAGGCCUGACCCAGUUACCUCUCUCCAUUGCAGCUCCUUGCUAUUCCAGGGCUGUCAGUUCCUGAGCUCUCCAGAGCAUUGUUGCUGCUGCAACUUCAUCACUGUCAUGGAACUGCCAUGCCCACACUGAUGCCAGCUCCAAGCCACUGCUAGAAUAUGGAAUGCUAU